Molecule: long non-coding RNA, 754 nt
Organism: Syzygium oleosum
Lineage: Eukaryota; Viridiplantae; Streptophyta; Magnoliopsida; Myrtales; Myrtaceae
Exons: 2
Source: RefSeq, a predicted model, not a curated record
UAGAAACACUUUGAUUGAAAAUUAAGUGUUCUUGAAACUACAACCCGACGAAGGGGCAUCAAAACAUAACAACUCCCAUAAUGGUUGGGGGGGACGGGUUAGCCAAGAUGAAAAAAGGGAAUUUGUACGUUGCGCUUUGGCGACCCAAUCGGCAGCUUGAUUCGCGGAUCUAUUGCAAUGGGCCACAGUUAGGUUUGUGUAUUGGGCCAUUCGGAUAUACGCUUCUCUAAUGAAAGCUUCCUCUUCCCAGCCGACUUCUCUCUGGUCCUACAGCUUCUUUACUAUUUCAAGACAAUCAGUUUCUAUCACAAUUCCAUCUUUUCUCCUGUCGACGAAGUAGUCUAGAGCAUGCAGCAAAGCUUGCAGUUCUAUGUGCAACGGCGAGGUCGCGGGUACUGUCCUGGCGAAGCCUUCUAGCAAGGUACCAACUUCGUUUCUGAGGAUUCCAGAAACUGCGCCUUUUGCUACAUCUCCAAGGAAGGAUCCAUCUAUGUUGAUUUUGAAGGAGUUUCUCAUCGGUGGUUUCCAACACAGAGAUGGCUUCGGUCCAGGGGCAGAGAAGAAAUAGAUGCUCUACCAUUUCAGUUUCCUUAUCAUAGAAGGGGCAUGCUGGUCGAGGUAAGAUUUUCCUCCUAUAGAGGUUUUCUGCUGUGGGGAGAGCAUUUUGGCAUACACUCCAUAGAAAUAUUCUAACCUUGGAUGGGAUUUUUAAAUUCUAGAUUAUGCACCAUAGCUUGCGGGAUGGCUUGAAAAA